This 166-nucleotide small RNA is filed under the name Bacillus methanolicus. RNAcentral describes it as "c-di-AMP sequence". It matches the Rfam family "c-di-AMP riboswitch aptamer (ydaO/yuaA leader)". Rfam says of the family: This family represents a conserved RNA structure found upstream of the ydaO and yuaA genes in Bacillus subtilis and related genes in other bacteria. The ydaO/yuaA element is thought to act as a genetic "off" switch for the ydaO and yuaA genes in its native state. Lineage: Bacteria; Bacillati; Bacillota; Bacilli; Caryophanales; Bacillaceae. The record is from RNAcentral. RNAcentral also lists the same sequence under 1 other name.
UACCUUUAGUCGCUGAAUCCUAAUAGGAACGGGGGAACCAACUGUGGUGCCUCUUGGGUCCACAUGGGGUGAAUCUCCUUCAGAAUCUGCAUGGAAUCUGAAGGAGUAGGGUGACUCUCAGCACCCGAAUCCGUCAGCUAACUUCGUAAGCGUCGUGAGAGGAGGU